CGGUGGGUCUUAGGCGGGGGGCUAGGGGUCCCUUGCACCGUAAACCCUCUAUAUGACGGGCUGACAGCUGAGGCUGAGGCGUUUAAGGCCGCUAAGACCCUCAUUUCCGAAGCCUUGACUAUCCGUCCCUUGGGGCUAGCGGUUGUUGGGCAGCUUCCGUAGGGAAGCCGUCUCCAAUGUUUGCCAGGCGAAUCCGGCCAGGCCCGGGAGGGAGCAACCUAAGUCUGGACGUUUGGCGCUCAAGGGGUGCGGGUACGAGUGUAGGGUUUGAUGGGUCAAGCGGAUUCUAGACGUCGAACCCCAGUGGCCCAUCG
Molecule: signal recognition particle RNA, 314 nt
Filed under: Candidatus Bathyarchaeota archaeon
Lineage: Archaea; Thermoproteati; Candidatus Bathyarchaeota
Description: signal recognition particle sRNA
Rfam family: Archaeal signal recognition particle RNA
Source: RNAcentral